This 301-nucleotide ribosomal RNA is filed under the name uncultured bacterium. RNAcentral describes it as "partial 16S ribosomal RNA". It matches the Rfam family "Bacterial small subunit ribosomal RNA", at positions 509 to 807 of the family's 1533-position model. The record is from RNAcentral.
CAGCAGCCGCGGUAAUACGGAGGGUGCAAGCGUUAAUCGGAAUUACUGGGCGUAAAGCGCACGCAGGCGGUCUGACAAGUCAGAUGUGAAAUCCCCGGGCUUAACCUGGGAACUGCAUUUGAAACUGUCAGGCUGGAGUCUUGUAGAGGGGGGUAGAAUUCCAGGUGUAGCGGUAAAAUGCGUAGAGAUCUGGAGGAAUACCGGUGGCGAAGGCGGCCCCCUGGACAAAGACUGACGCUCAGGUGCGAAAGCGUGGGGAGCAAACAGGAUUAGAUACCCCUGUAGUCCCUGUCUCUUAUAC